Molecule: ribosomal RNA, 427 nt
Filed under: uncultured bacterium
Lineage: Bacteria
Description: bacterial SSU rRNA
Rfam family: Bacterial small subunit ribosomal RNA
Source: RNAcentral
UGGGGAAUAUUGGACAAUGGGCGAAAGCCUGAUCCAGCCAUGCCGCGUGUGUGAAGAAGGUCUUCGGAUUGUAAAGCACUUUAAGUUGGGAGGAAGGGCUGCAAGCUAAUACCUUGUAGUUUUGACGUUACCAACAGAAUAAGCACCGGCUAACUUCGUGCCAGCAGCCGCGGUAAUACGAAGGGUGCAAGCGUUAAUCGGAAUUACUGGGCGUAAAGCGCGCGUAGGUGGUUUGGUAAGAUGGAUGUGAAAUCCCCGGGCUCAACCUGGGAACUGCAUCCAUAACUGCCUGACUAGAGUACGGUAGAGGGUGGUGGAAUUUCCUGUGUAGCGGUGAAAUGCGUAGAUAUAGGAAGGAACACCAGUGGCGAAGGCGACCACCUGAACUGAUACUGACACUGAGGUGCGAAAGCGUGGGGAGCAAACA